Molecule: ribosomal RNA, 253 nt
Filed under: uncultured bacterium
Lineage: Bacteria
Description: partial 16S ribosomal RNA
Rfam family: Bacterial small subunit ribosomal RNA
Source: RNAcentral
UACAUAGGGUGCAAGCGUUGUCCGGAAUUAUUGGGCGUAAAGAGCUCGUAGGUCGUUUGUUACGUCGGAUGUGAAAACCUGAGGCUCAACCUCAGGCCUGCAUUCGAUACGGGCAAACUAGAGUUUGGUAGGGGAGACUGGAAUUCCUGGUGUAGCGGUGGAAUGCGCAGAUAUCAGGAGGAACACCAAUGGCGAAGGCAGGUCUCUGGGCCAUUACUGACACUGAGGAGCGAAAGUCUGGGGAGCGAACAGG